GAUGAACGCUGGCGGCGUGCCUAAUACAUGCAAGUCGAGCGAAUGGAUUAAGAGCUUGUUCUUAUGAAGUUAGCGGCGGACGGGUGAGUAACACGAGGGUAACCUGCCCAUAAGACUGGGAUAACGCCGGGAAACCGGGGCUAAUACCGGAUAACAUUUUGAACCGCAUGGGUCGAAAUUGAAAGGCGGCUUCGGCUGUCACUUAUGGAUGGACCCGCGUCGCAUUAGCUAGUUGGUGAGGUAACGGCUCACCAAGGCAACGAUGCGUAGCCGACCUGAGAGGGUGAUCGGCCACACUGGGACUGAGACACGGCCCAGACUCCUACGGGAGGCAGCAGUAGGGAAUCUUCCGCAAUGGACGAAAGUCUGACGGAGCAACGCCGCGUGAGUGAUGAAGGCUUUCGGGUCGUAAAACUCUGUUGUUAGGGAAGAACAAGUGCUAGUUGAAUAAGCUGGCACCUUGACGGUACCUAACCAGAAAGCCACGGCUAACUACGUGCCAGCCGCCGCCGUAA
RNAcentral lists this ribosomal RNA (515 nucleotides) under uncultured bacterium. Its description in RNAcentral is "partial 16S ribosomal RNA". It matches the Rfam family "Bacterial small subunit ribosomal RNA", at positions 28 to 523 of the family's 1533-position model. The record is from RNAcentral.